RNAcentral lists this ribosomal RNA (253 nucleotides) under uncultured bacterium. RNAcentral's name for it is "partial 16S ribosomal RNA". It matches the Rfam family "Bacterial small subunit ribosomal RNA", at positions 524 to 776 of the family's 1533-position model. The record is from RNAcentral.
GACAGAGGGUGCUAGCGUUGCUCGGAAUUACUGGGCGUAAAGCGUAUGUAGGCUGUUUCAUAAGUCUGAUGUGAAAUCCAGGGGCUCAACCCCUGUGCUGCAUUGGAUACUGUGAGACUAGAGAUCGGGAGAGGUAAGUGGAAUUCCUAGUGGAGAGGUGAAAUUCGUAGAUACUAGGAGGAACACCAAAGGCGAAGGCAGCUUACUGGAACGAAUCUGACGCUGAGAUACGAAAGCGUGGGGAGCAAACAGG